Molecule: ribosomal RNA, 256 nt
Filed under: uncultured archaeon
Lineage: Archaea
Description: partial 16S ribosomal RNA
Rfam family: Bacterial small subunit ribosomal RNA
Source: RNAcentral
UAAUACGAAGGGUGCAAGCGUUAAUCGGAAUUACUGGGCGUAAAGGGUGCGUAGACGGUUUGUUAAGUCGGAUGUGAAAGCCCCGGGCUCAACCUGGGAACUGCAUCCGAAACUGGCAGGCUAGAGUGCGAUAGAGGAUGGUGGAAUUCCCGGUGUAGCGGUGAAAUGCGUAGAGAUCGGGAGGAACAUCUGUGGCGAAGGCGGCCAUCUGGAUCAGCACUGACGUUGAGGCACGAAAGCGUGGGGAGCAAACAGG